Molecule: ribosomal RNA, 253 nt
Filed under: uncultured bacterium
Lineage: Bacteria
Description: partial 16S ribosomal RNA
Rfam family: Bacterial small subunit ribosomal RNA
Source: RNAcentral
UACGGAGGGUGCGAGCGUUGUCCGGAAUCACUGGGCGUAAAGGGCGCGUAGGCGGCGCGGGCAGUCAACGGUGAAAGCUUGGGGCUCAACCCCGAGUCGGCCGUCGAUACUCCCGUGCUUGAGCACUGUAGAGGCAGGUGGAAUUCCGGGUGUAGCGGUGGAAUGCGUAGAGAUCAGGAAGAACACCGGUGGCGAAAGCGUUCUGCUAGACCUGUACUGACACUGAGGGACGAAAGCUAGGGGAGCGAAUGGG